Molecule: long non-coding RNA, 580 nt
Filed under: Jatropha curcas
Lineage: Eukaryota; Viridiplantae; Streptophyta; Magnoliopsida; Malpighiales; Euphorbiaceae
Description: long non-coding RNA (JCUR_LNC001100)
Source: RNAcentral
GGUCUAAUCCUCACUUGACCAGCCCUCUCAUUGUUUUUCUAUCCUCUCUUUUCUUUUUCAUACCAACAGGAGGUAACCCGGUGGUCUCCAUCCAAUCUAGAUCAUCAAGCGCUCACAACAGGAGGCCACCCUGCGGGCUGCGAUCAAAUCUAGACUGUCCGGUGCGCAACGACGAGAAGCCAACCCGUGGUUAACGGUAACGGUAACGGUAGGUGCACAUGGGAGCGCCGAUCUCUCAUUUACCCGGCUAACGGUAAUCAUAUUGGAUCCAUAUAACGGUACGGUCUCACAGUCCCAUGGUGACCCACUUCAUCCCAAUUCCACACAAACAAAUCACAAUAUAUGCACAACACAAUUAUUCAAACAAUUCUUUCAACGUACUACACCAAAUACAUCCAAAUAUACAAUUAUGCAACAUAAAGUAAAUAUGAGCUUUAAUAUAAAAUAUAUAUAUAUAUAAGGUUUGUAAAAAAAAUGCUAUGCAAAUGCAUGUUGAUAUGCAUUAUUUAUUAUUACUCACUGCGAUGGAGAGCGAAGUUCUAGCUUUGAUUCUGUCCUGGAGGAGCACUAGAUGGACCCG